GAUGCGAGUUACUCUNUGUAGUAUUGCUUGUACAUACUUUUACGUUUAUUUGCAAGAUGUUGUCGGCGUGCACUUCUCCCCUAGUAGAACGUCGCGACCCGUUGGGUGUUGGUCUACGACCCGAGUGGGAGACUUUGAUAUUUUNACAAUAUUAAAGACCCUUGGUGUUUUCUGACCGGCUGCCC
This 185-nucleotide ribosomal RNA is filed under the name Heterospilus sp. ASDOR275-10. RNAcentral's name for it is "partial 28S ribosomal RNA". The record is from RNAcentral. Lineage: Eukaryota; Metazoa; Arthropoda; Insecta; Hymenoptera; Braconidae.